AUAACUCCCUUCUCUUUAACACCAUACAACACCAAACUUCAACCAACCGUAAAACAAAGAUAAUAUUAGCACCAGCAGCCAAACCAGAACAACCCAGCUUCAACUCCACAAUUUCAAUCAACAACGAUUUCAACUCGACAACUCGCGACCAACCCAACCCGAUACCAAUUAUGACAACCCAACCCAACUGCAAACCCCAGCGACCCACGCAUCCAACAAUCGAUUUGAAUUUUAAAAAAAUCGAUAUUCGAAUUUGUACGGAAUAGUACGAAUCCAGCUCAUCCAACCUUAUCUAUUCUUGAAUUCAAAAUUUUCCUUCCAAAAUUCCCUUCGAGAACCACAUCCCACAUCAACAGAUUCUAAUUUUGAAACCGUAAAAUUCCUAUAUAAAUACUCCCUCAACAGAGUUGAGGAGGUGGGAGGGGAGAUAGAUACAACGAAGAACCCCAAAGGCAAGGGAUUUUUGCUUGAAGAGAAUUGAUUUCGGUGCCAAGAAAUUCGAUAAGACUCGUUUGAGCACGAAUUUCUAGAAAAAAUUCCAAUUUCAACUCAGUGGUGGCGAGAAUUUUCACUAGCUUGAAGUCCCGGUUCACUGCCCCUAAAAAGGUAAACUGUCCAUCCUUUUCCUUUUCUUUCUCGUGUGAUUAUGUCUCUUCGAAUUUAUGAUAGUUGUAUUUAGUUUUUCAUUUUCUGGUGGGAUUAUGUAUUGUAGAAAGCCUCGAUGGAAGUAGAAUUUACGUGUAAUAGUUAUUGUUAUAUCGUCUGCUGAAUCAAUAUUCAUGUCGUAGUUGUUCGUCUUACUGUUUAGUUUCAUGAUUCUUAUUCUUCUCAUAAAGGCCUAGUAUUUUUCCGUUUUUGUUUUGUUUGAUGAUCCAUUUACACAGUAGUGAAGCUGUGGGUAUAGACUAUAGCAUCUUCAAUUCGUCAUAAAAUGAAAAACUGAAAUUGGUUGGGUUUUUUUCAAAAUUUUCAUGCUUAAGAGUUCGAAUUCACUGCAUGAUCACUAUUUUGUUGUAUAAACAACUCUUGUAUUAAAACCAAAACCUACAUGAAUAUCUUUGGUUCAAUUUGGAAGAGAUUACUGUCAGGCGUUUUACUUAUUUUUGUCAGAUUACUUCAUUUGUUAUGCUUUUAAGUUUGUGUAUAGUUGAACUAUUAGAAAGGAUCUAACCUUCUUGUGUCAAAUUUUGCUAAGUAAAUGAGUGUUUGUCUCGUUGCAAUUAGAAGUCUCAUUUAUUAUAUAGAUAAAUGAAAAGUUCUCUUGUAGCUGAAUUAAGCAUGUACUCACAUGUAUUCAUUUAAGAUAUCAUUUUCUUUAUCCUUUUAGUUAGUUUGGGUCGCUCUUUCUAAUUCAAUACUGAUCUUUAUCAUUAUUUAUUGUGCAUGAAUUGUUCGAGUCUCAUUUUGCCCCUCCGGCAUUUUUUUUGGGACCAAGUCCCUUCCUUAUCUAGUCAAACCCUCCUCAAAGGUCAAAAAUGGAUUAAAUACCCAUAUGCUUAAAUUACUCCAUUAAAUACCUAUAAUUUAGUAGUAUAUGAAUUAAUAUAGUAACUGAAAUUUAAAUUUCAAAAAAACUUUUAAACAUUACUGUUAAUUUUCAUAACUAUUGAUAUAUGUUCUUGAGAAUAAAAAAGUCGACUUCUUUCUUGAUUUCUGAAAAAAAGAAGAUGAACAUCCCCAUAUUAUUGGGUCAUUUCGGUGUCUGGGAAUCGAAAAUCAGUUAUAAAUCAUACGAAAGUAAUGUCAUUAUUGUUUCUGAAAGUAUUAACUUUCUGAAAUUGAUUGCUGCGAUCGCCAUGGAAUUGGAUCUCGACGAAGUACGCAAAAAAUUGAAGUGAUUAAAUCGAGUUUGAAAGAGAAACAGGGGUUGUACUUUGUAUCGAAGGUAGUGAAUAUGAUUCGAUUGCGUCAACGGUCGUUGUAACAAAGAUAUGUACUGCACUGUCGUAACAUAAACUGCAAAUGGGUGUUGAAGGCGUCUUGUAUGAAUCAUUCGAAAAUAUUUUUGAUAAAAAGAUUUGACUCAAGGCACACUUGCAGUCUUAGCGAUGGAGUUGUUGAAUAAUUUAGUUGCGGCAACAGAUUUUGUGAGUGAAUUUACAACAUCAAAAUUAAUUAAUCACAAGAGAAUACACACACCAGUGAACAUAAUUGAAGAGAUGAAGGUUGUUUACGGAGUUGAUAUUAACUAUAUGAAAGUUUGACGCGCAAAAGAAAAGGCGAUUGUGAUCCUUAGAGGUGGACCAAUAGAUGGAUAUCGAAAAAUGCCCUGUUAUAUUUGUAUGCUGAACCAAAUAUAUUCGGAAUCGCACAUUCGGAUGCAUAAGACAUUAUAUAACGAGUUAAAUACUUGUUUAUUGCGUUACAUCCCAUGAUAAGGGUUUUGAAUUUUGUCGACCUGUCGUGGGUGUGUAUAUACUAUGUAAUUUGGCAACUAUUAUAAUAAAUAGUUGUUAAAACGUAAUGUGCAUUACACAAUUAUACAUUAAACUUCCAUAUAUAAGUAAUGCAUGAUAUACUAUUGUACUUUAUUAUCA
Capsicum annuum is the source of this 2537-nucleotide long non-coding RNA. RefSeq lists it as uncharacterized. The transcript is spliced from 2 exons. The record is from RefSeq and is a predicted model, not a curated record. NCBI's taxonomy places the organism in Eukaryota, Viridiplantae, Streptophyta, Magnoliopsida, Solanales, Solanaceae.